GAUGAACGCUAGCUACAGGCUUAACACAUGCAAGUCGAGGGGAAACGACAUUGAAGCUUGCUUCGAUGGUCGUCGACCGGUGCACGGGUGAGUAACGCGUAUCCACCCUGCCUCUGACCAAGGGAUAACCCGUCGAAAGUCGGCCUAAUACCUUAUGCAGAUGUCGGAAGUCAUCUGAUGACGACGAAAGAUUUUAUCGGUGCGAGCUGGGGAUGCGUCUGAUUAGUUUGUUGGCGGGGUAACGGCCCACCAAGGCAACGAUCAGUAGGGGUUCUGAGAGGGAGGUCCCCCACAUUGGAACUGAGACACGGACCAGACUCCUACGGGAGGCAGCAGUGAGGAAUAUUGGUCAAUGGUCGGGAGCCUGAACCAGCCAAGUAGCGUGCAGGAUGACUGCCUUAUGGGUUGUAAACUGCUUUUAUACGGGGAGAAAAUGAGGUACGUGUCCUUCAUUGCAGGUACCACAUGAAUAAGCACCGGCUAAUUCCGUG
RNAcentral lists this ribosomal RNA (491 nucleotides) under uncultured bacterium. RNAcentral describes it as "partial 16S ribosomal RNA". It matches the Rfam family "Bacterial small subunit ribosomal RNA", at positions 28 to 507 of the family's 1533-position model. The record is from RNAcentral.